AACGAACGCUGGCGGCAUGCCUAACACAUGCAAGUCGAACGAGAUCUUCGGAUCUAGUGGCGCACGGGUGCGUAACGCGUGGGAAUCUGCCCCUUGCUUCGGAAUAACAGUGAGAAAUUACUGCUAAUACCGGAUGAUGUCUUCGGACCAAAGAUUUAUCGGCAAGGGAUGAGCCCGCGUAGGAUUAGGUAGUUGGUGGGGUAAUGGCCUACCAAGCCGACGAUCCUUAGCUGGUCUGAGAGGAUGAUCAGCCACACUGGGACUGAGACACGGCCCAGACCCCUACGGGGGGCCGCAGUGGGGAAUAUUGGAAAAGGGGCGAAAGCCUGAUCCAGCAAUGCCGGGUGGGUGAUGAAGGCCUUAGGGUUGUAAAGCUCUUUUCCCAGGGAUGAUAAUGACAGUACCUGGAGAAUAAGCCCCGGCUAACUCCGU
This 432-nucleotide ribosomal RNA is filed under the name uncultured bacterium. RNAcentral's name for it is "partial 16S ribosomal RNA". It matches the Rfam family "Bacterial small subunit ribosomal RNA", at positions 29 to 506 of the family's 1533-position model. The record is from RNAcentral.